Molecule: ribosomal RNA, 298 nt
Filed under: Eriococcus aceris
Lineage: Eukaryota; Metazoa; Arthropoda; Insecta; Hemiptera; Eriococcidae
Description: partial 28S ribosomal RNA
Source: RNAcentral
GAGCCCGUGAAUCCGGGCGGCAGAAUUCAGAAUCGACGGACGCAAGUUCGUCUAUUUGAUAUUUCUGUCGCCGUACAACCACGGACGUCGCGACCCGUUCGAUGUCGGUCCUCGCCUUCGGGAGGAACCGCGUUCGAGUUCGCCGUCCGAGCGUGCGUUCGCGUGCGUUUCGGUCGGCGAAGGCGCGGAUUUCUGGCCGACUCGUCGGACGGUAUGUCAACGGGGGUGUCCGGCGUCGUGUUUUGAUGGCGCGGCGCCGGUGCCGGUCAGCGACGAAUCUUCGGGUCUCUUUCCGACC